AUUGAACGCUGGCGGCAGGCCUAACACAUGCAAGUCGAGCGGAUGAAGGGAGCUUGCUCCUGGAUUCAGCGGCGGACGGGUGAGUAAUGCCUAGGAAUCUGCCUGGUAGUGGGGGAUAACGUCCGGAAACGGGCGCUAAUACCGCAUACGUCCUGAGGGAGAAAGUGGGGGUUCUUCGGACCUCACGCUAUCAGAUGAGCCUAGGUCGGAUUAGCUAGUUGGGUGGGUAAAGGCCUACCAAGGCGACGAUCCGUAACUGGUCUGAGAGGAUGAUCAGUCACACGGGAACUGAGACACGGUCCAGACUCCUACGGGAGGCAGCAGUGGGGAAUAUUGGACAAUGGGCGAAAGCCUGAUACAGCCAUGCCGCGUGUGUGAAGAAGGUCUUCGGAUUGUAAAGCACUUUAAGUUGGGAGGAAGGGCAGUAAGUUAAUACCUUGCUGUUUUGACGUUACCAACAGAAUAAGCACCGGCUAACUUCGUG
This 484-nucleotide ribosomal RNA is filed under the name uncultured bacterium. RNAcentral describes it as "partial 16S ribosomal RNA". It matches the Rfam family "Bacterial small subunit ribosomal RNA", at positions 30 to 507 of the family's 1533-position model. The record is from RNAcentral.